RNAcentral lists this ribosomal RNA (1011 nucleotides) under uncultured Lactobacillus sp. RNAcentral describes it as "bacterial SSU rRNA". It matches the Rfam family "Bacterial small subunit ribosomal RNA", at positions 35 to 1005 of the family's 1533-position model. The record is from RNAcentral. Lineage: Bacteria; Bacillati; Bacillota; Bacilli; Lactobacillales; Lactobacillaceae.
GGUGGCGGUUGCUAUAAUGCAGUCGAACGCGUUGGCCCAACUGAUUGAACGUGCUUGCACGGACUUGACGUUGGUUUACCAGCGAGUGGCGGACGGGUGAGUAACACGUAGGUAACCUGCCCCAAAGCGGGGGAUAACAUUUGGAAACAGAUGCUAAUACCGCAUAACAAUUUGAAUCGCAUGAUUCAAAUUUAAAAGAUGGCUUCGGCUAUCACUUUGGGAUGGACCUGCGGCGCAUUAGCUUGUUGGUAGGGUAACGGCCUACCAAGGCUGUGAUGCGUAGCCGAGUUGAGAGACUGAUCGGCCACAAUGGAACUGAGACACGGUCCAUACUCCUACGGGAGGCAGCAGUAGGGAAUCUUCCACAAUGGGCGCAAGCCUGAUGGAGCAACACCGCGUGAGUGAAGAAGGGUUUCGGCUCGUAAAGCUCUGUUGUUAGAGAAGAACGUGCGUGAGAGCAACUGUUCACGCAGUGACGGUAUCUAACCAGAAAGUCACGGCUAACUACGUGCCAGCAGCCGCGGUAAUACGUAGGUGGCAAGCGUUAUCCGGAUUUAUUGGGCGUAAAGCGAGCGCAGGCGGUUUGAUAAGUCUGAUGUGAAAGCCUUUGGCUUAACCAAAGAAGUGCAUCGGAAACUGUCAGACUUGAGUGCAGAAGAGGACAGUGGAACUCCAUGUGUAGCGGUGGAAUGCGUAGAUAUAUGGAAGAACACCAGUGGCGAAGGCGGCUGUCUGGUCUGCAACUGACGCUGAGGCUCGAAAGCAUGGGUAGCGAACAGGAUUAGAUACCCUGGUAGUCCAUGCCGUAAACGAUGAGUGCUAGGUGUUGGAGGGUUUCCGCCCUUCAGUGCCGCAGCUAACGCAUUAAGCACUCCGCCUGGGGAGUACGACCGCAAGGUUGAAACUCAAAGGAAUUGACGGGGGCCCGCACAAGCGGAGGAACAUGUGGUUUAAUUCGAUGAUACGCGAGGAACCUUACCCGGGCUUGAAUUGCAGACUAAUGCGGCGGAG